CUAGCCGUAAACGAUGUAUACUUGGUGUAGUUGGACUCAACCCCGACUGUGCCGUAGCUAACGCGAUAAGUAUACCGCCUGGGGAGUACAGUCGCAAGGCUGAAACUCAAAAGAAUUGACGGGGACCCGCACAAGCAGUGGAGCAUGUGGUUUAAUUCGAUGCAACGCGAAGAACCUUACCUGGGCUUGACAUGCAGAGGACAGUGCUAGAAAUAGCAUCUCCCUUCGGGGCCUUUGCACAGGUGC
This 246-nucleotide ribosomal RNA is filed under the name uncultured Chlamydiales bacterium. Its description in RNAcentral is "partial 16S ribosomal RNA". It matches the Rfam family "Bacterial small subunit ribosomal RNA", at positions 796 to 1041 of the family's 1533-position model. The record is from RNAcentral. Lineage: Bacteria; Pseudomonadati; Chlamydiota; Chlamydiia; Chlamydiales.